CCUACGGGUGGCAGCAGUGAGGAAUAUUGGUCAAUGGGCGCGAGCCUGAUCCAGCCACGUCGCGUGAGGGAAGACGGUCCUAUGGAUUGUAAACCUCUUUUGUCGGGGAGCGAAAGACGCCACGCGUGGCGUUCCGAGAGUACCCGAAGAAAAAGCAUCGGCUAACUCCGUGCCAGCAGCCGCGGUAAUAGGGAGGAUGCGGGCGUUAUCGGGAUUAAUUGGGUGAAAGGGGGGCGCAGGCGGAAGAUCAAGUCAGUGGUAAAGUUGAGAGGGUAAACCUCUGAGAGCAGUGGAAACUGGUUGUCUUGAGUGAGUGAGAGGUAAGCGGAAUGCGUGGUGUAGCGGUGAAAUGCGUAGAUAUCACGAAGAACACCGAUGGCGAAGGCGGCAUACCGG
RNAcentral lists this ribosomal RNA (396 nucleotides) under uncultured bacterium. Its description in RNAcentral is "partial 16S ribosomal RNA". It matches the Rfam family "Bacterial small subunit ribosomal RNA", at positions 338 to 732 of the family's 1533-position model. The record is from RNAcentral.